GAUGAACGCUGGCGGCGUGCUUAAUACAUGCAAGUCGAACGGACGGGCGCUGAUCUUGUGGGGUGGUUGUGAGGCGAACGGGUGAGUGACACGUGAGUAACAUGCACCUGUAAUUGGGAUAAAUUCUGGAAAAUGGGGAUCAUACAGGGUAGGAGAUCCUGAUGCGCGGUGGGGGAUGGAAAGAUUCGGCGGUUGGGGCUGGAAUCGCGGCUUAUCGGCUUGAUGGUGGGGUAGUGACUUACAAAGGCUUUGAAGGGUAGCCGGCCUGGGAGGGUGGACGGCCACAAUGGUACUGAGAGACGGCGCAGUCGCCUACGGGCGGCAGCAGGCGGAAUAUUGCACAAGGGGCGGAAGCCGGAUGCAGAAACGCCGCGGGCGGGAUAACUGCCUUCUGAGUGUAAACCGCUUGCGCCUGUGACGAAGCGUGAGUGGCCGUAAUGGGUAAAGAAGCACCGGCUAACUACGUU
RNAcentral lists this ribosomal RNA (467 nucleotides) under uncultured bacterium. Its description in RNAcentral is "partial 16S ribosomal RNA". It matches the Rfam family "Bacterial small subunit ribosomal RNA", at positions 28 to 507 of the family's 1533-position model. The record is from RNAcentral.